This 468-nucleotide ribosomal RNA is filed under the name uncultured bacterium. RNAcentral's name for it is "partial 16S ribosomal RNA". It matches the Rfam family "Bacterial small subunit ribosomal RNA", at positions 28 to 507 of the family's 1533-position model. The record is from RNAcentral.
GACGAACGCUGGCGGCGUGCUUAACACAUGCAAGUCGAACGGAAAGGCCCUGCUUUUGUGGGGUGCUCGAGUGGCGAACGGGUGAGUAACACGUGAGUAACCUGCCCUUGACUUUGGGAUAACUUCAGGAAACUGGGGCUAAUACCGGAUAGGAGCUCCUGCUGCAUGGUGGGGGUUGGAAAGUUUCGGCGGUUGGGGAUGGACUCGCGGCUUAUCAGCUUGUUGGUGGGGUAGUGGCUUACCAAGGCUUUGACGGGUAGCCGGCCUGAGAGGGUGACCGGCCACAUUGGGACUGAGAGACGGCACAGACUCCUACGGGAGGCAGCAGUGGGGAAUAUUGAACAAUGGGCGGAAGCCUGAUGCAGCAACGCCGCGUGCGGGAUGACGGCCUUCGGGUUGUAAACCGCUUUCGCCUGUGACGAAGCGUGAGUGACGGUAAUGGGUAAAGAAGCACCGGCUAACUACGUG